This 82-nucleotide transfer RNA is filed under the name Marinilabiliaceae bacterium JC017. Its description in RNAcentral is "tRNA-Tyr". It matches the Rfam family "tRNA". Rfam says of the family: Transfer RNA (tRNA) molecules are approximately 80 nucleotides in length. Their secondary structure includes four short double-helical elements and three loops (D, anti-codon, and T loops). Lineage: Bacteria; Pseudomonadati; Bacteroidota; Bacteroidia; Marinilabiliales; Marinilabiliaceae. The record is from RNAcentral.
GGGGAGAUACCAAAGUGGCCAACGGGGCGGACUGUAACUCCGCUGACUUUCGUCUUCGUAGGUUCGAAUCCUGCUCUCCCCA